Molecule: long non-coding RNA, 4172 nt
Organism: Musa acuminata AAA Group (dessert banana)
Lineage: Eukaryota; Viridiplantae; Streptophyta; Magnoliopsida; Zingiberales; Musaceae
Exons: 4
Source: RefSeq, a predicted model, not a curated record
AAACCGUAAUUAUCUGCAGAUUGGCCGUCGAAGACUGCGAGAGUCAACCAUCUUGUCCCUGAUCAUUGGUCAGCACACGGCGAUCUUUCCUGCCUUCUCGUGAGAGUGAUUAAUAUGUUAUAUUCUUGAUCAUAUACAUAUAUCAAUCCUUCUUGCUGCUGGAUUUCAUCUUCUAAUAGCAAACUGGAUAUCAGUUCUUUCAGAUGAUUCUUGGAGACCUUCUUUUUCUUGGGCUAUUUAGGUUGGGAACCGCUAGGGUCUGGAUAAAGUUGGGUUCUUGAUUGGAUUACCGGUUCGUUUGUGGUGGCUCGAUUGGGGUUUCUUCGUCGCCCUCCUUCUUUCUCCCUGUUCCGUUUGAGGCAUUCCUAAAUGUGUAACUUCGUGUGGUUUCUCGAGUUUGUUUUCUUUAUUCUUCAAUUGGCUCUCGAUGUCUAGGGCUGUUUGUCCAGUUUGGGCUGGUUUAGGUUUCUUCUUCGCCAUGGCGAUCUGCUGAGCGUGCUUGCUAUUGAUCGAGGAAGUGAUCUAGACUAUCACCCUGGAGCGUCUUGUUUCUUGGAUUGAGAUGGCCAUGGAGCAGAGAGUCCAUGAGAUUUUAGAGGCGAUUAGGGUUUAAGUUCCGACUGUUUAAGGGAUUGUUUGAGAUGGACUGCUUGCAGCUGGGUUGGAAAGCUGAUGGAUUUCGUCGGCAAAGGCAGGUAUGUUUUCUCUGCUUCUUGUUGAUUAGUCUCUCACUUUUGAUUUUGAUGAACAAAAUUUCACAAAGAAUCUUUGAUUGGUGAUUAAACUCUGCUAUUUCUGUGAGGGGAUUUUUAUUGAAUUUGAUGUCAUUAGCUCUGAUGUUUAAAGUGAUAACUCUGGUGACAAAAAAAAAGAAUCAUAUCUUUUGUAUGUUUGUGUCUGUUUGGUGAUUAGGUUAUUGUGUUUGUUCUAUCUAAAAAUUGCUAUGCUUCAGCAUUGAGUUUGAGAUAUAGUGGAUUUUCCAAUGCAAAUGAUAGUAAUAUCUGAUAUUCUUCGAGCCAAAUGACGGUAACAUUUGAUGUUCUUUGAGCAAAAUGAUAGUAAUAUUUGAUAUUCCUCAAAUAUGAACUUUGUACUGGCUAUGAAGUUGGGCAUGUAAUUUCGAGGAGAAGUUGUUUGUGAUGUAGGAUUCGGUUUAACUAAUAAUGAAGUCAAAUUUAUAUUAUAGAUCACCUUGUUUAUUAGAACGAACAAUCUCUUCAUUAAGUUACAUAAAAGGCAUUGAUGGUGAUGUAAUUGUGGUGAAAUGUUCAUUCCUGAGCCAAAUUCUUGAUUGGAAAUAAUAUCUUGUGAUCCUCUUGCCUGACAAAUUUUUUUUCCAAAGUGAAGGUAUCGAUACAGCAGUUUUAUAUUGAGUAAUAGAGACAAAAAAAAAAAGUAUUGGUUGUUUCUUAUUAUGCUUGCUGGUCAUGAUAAAGUUGACAAGAUUUUCUUAUUUGUUGAGAUUGCAACUUAUGUUCUGGAGGAAGAUGUAAUCAAAUUCUCUAUGAGAAUUUAACGACUUGAAACUUUUUCCCUAAAACUAUAAUUCUCACUUACCAUCUCAAAUUUUUUUUUCUGAAGGUAAUCUCCUUCACGUGAUUUAAUUCUACAGAGUUUAGGCACUGUUAAGCUUACCGAUUCAGGCGAAUAGUAUCCACAAAGCUGUGGUCAUCUAUCUUUGUUUUGAUUUUAACCUUUUAACAUUUGUGUGUAUUAUCAUUAGUCCAUGAGUGCAUGCUUACUUCAGAAUUAAAUUUACACCACUGUUUUCGAGUAAAGAAUAUACUGCUCACUUAAGUCAAUUCUUUGUUAACAAAGUUCAGUAAUCGUUAGAAAUAUGAUUAUGUUUCCGUUUUAGGUUAUGCACAAGUGAUGUGACUGUUGAAGUUGGGGAGAGAAUCUUUCUUCUUCACAAGAUAAUAAUUCUUCAUCAUUCAUCCUUAUUAGGCUGUUAAUCUCAGGUUGUGCAGAGUUCAUAUAUUCUGUUCAAAUUCAAAAUGAAAACAUAAUGACAUCUUUUUGUUGAAUCAUUAAUAUUGAUAUUUGAGAACAAGGAGAUUAAACAAUAAUUAUUCUGGCUUUUUCUACUGGUUUUUUCAAAGUUAAAACUAAAUACUAGAUGAAUCUUAUAGGAUGCAAAUUGCAGUUUGAUUGUUGCAGUUCCUCAAUUCCACUGCCAGGCUUAUAAUCAUCACUAGUUAUACAAUUACAAAUUUAGUAUUUGACGAACUCAUGUUCCUAAUCUCAACAACCGCAACAACAACGGAAACAAACAUCGUGCCAUCGACGUAGGUAAACGGGCACAUCCAUGGCUUCUCACAGAAGAGUGUCAGAGGGAAGAGCUAUUCCAGCCGAUGAACUGCUAACCAGCGAGAACAGUGGCUGAAGGUGAGCUUUGAUGAUGGUGUCUGAAAUCCAAAAAGAGUGCUCAAGCAUGAAAAGAACUCGACACUGCUAAAAGGUUCGAUAAGGGCUAAUUAAAGCUUACAAUUCACAAGAAACAAUUGUUGACAGGCAUGUAAAGACUCUGCAAGGAUCUUAUAGUUUCAUGAGCAUGCUUUUUUCUGAUACAAGGCAGCAGAACUCUCAACCUUGUUCAGAAAGGGAGAUGAAAGCUGAUAUGAACCCAUCCUUCAUGGUCUGUGUCCUGUCAUUGACUUGUGGCUUCAAUGACAUUAAUAUUUGGGUCAACAUCCUAUAGGCUAUAUGAGUGUGAUGAAAAUUUGGUUUCAAUACUGAUGCAUGUAUCAGUCAAGAGUCAGUAAUGACAAGAUAUAUGAUAGAUGCAUGGAUGUAUGAGUUCUAUUUGAUCCACCAUUUGUGAGAUCUGACCAUGGACUGGUGUUUGAUGUGGUAAAAUGCUUUCUUUGUACAAAAGCUUAGAGAGGAAAAGGAACAGUUUUUUUUUUUUAUUUCCCUCAACCUUCUAAUAAUAUAAUUUCAUUAUAGUAAGAGAUUUGAUGCACCAUUAAUCUUAUCUUUUUGAAAGGAUAUUUACUUUAUUAGCUGCAUUAAAAAUCAAAUCAAUCAGAAAUCUAGAUAUGAAUUCACCAAUAUAAUAUAAAUAUGUCAGAUAACUUAGUUGGUAUUAAUUUUGACAGUAGAUUAUAAGUUUCUGAACUCGAAUUCUGAUAAGUAAGCUGAAGGAGAGUAUUUUUUUAAAAUUUUUAAAAAUAUUCUUCUCAUCAUUUUAUAAAUAAUAAUCUUUUGGGUUGAUGAUAUGAAUUUUUUUUAGGUAUAAUGUGCAAACUUUCAAAAAAUGGGUGGAUUUGAUUUGGUGAUUGUGGAUCGAAGAUCAAUUUUAAUAUUGAUCAAUGUAAAACUUUGUAUUUGGAUAGUUAUUUAUAGAUUUUUUUAGCUAAAUGUCACUGUAAAAAAUUAAUAUUCGACCUUUUCUUUGAAGGAAAUGAAGAAAUAAGGAUUCAAACGGUUAUCAGACAAUUUCCGAAGGGGGUUUGCUAUAUUUAGAUCGAGAAACUGCCUUUGCUUGCUGCGUCUUCUUCCCCCGAGACUUGCUCUCGCCCUCUCUCUCGCUCUCUUUCUCUCUCUUUCUUUCUUUUCAGCACCAUAUACUCUCUCUCUUCCUCUCUGUUCCUCGAUCAUGUCGUCGCAGGAGAAGGGUCGGCCACUGCCCAAGUUUGGGGAGUGGGAUGUCAACAAUCCUGCUUCGGCUGAAGGAUUCACUGUCAUAUUCAACAAAGCUCGAGACGAGAAGAAGACAAGUAGUAGUAGCUCUGCUGCUCCAGCUUCACCAAGAAGAAAUGAUGUAGGUGGUCUGAAACCAGAAGUCACCUACCAAUAUCCAAGAAAAAGUAGCAAGUGGUUUUGCUGUGUGUAAGUGCUGCUGCCAGAGCACCGAGGGACGAGUUGUCAUCGUUCAUGGUUAAGAUGACUAGGUCGGCCUACUUCUACCUGUGAUGGUGCUGCCAUGUCUCAUGGUCUCUCUCUCUCUCUCUCUCUCUCUCCUUAUAUAUAUUUAUAUGUGCAUUGUAUGAGAACAAAAUAGGAGUGAUGGAUGGAGAACCUUUUGCAUAUAGUUUCUUUUGGCUUUGUUAUAUACUUUGUGGUGAGGGAAACUUCUAAUAACUGGGUGGGAGUUUUAUUGGGAUACUUCUCCAGUGAUUACAAGUUGACAACAAUGAUGAAUAAUGUUCCAACUGUCCUUGCCCAAA